RNAcentral lists this ribosomal RNA (427 nucleotides) under uncultured bacterium. RNAcentral's name for it is "partial 16S ribosomal RNA". It matches the Rfam family "Bacterial small subunit ribosomal RNA", at positions 355 to 774 of the family's 1533-position model. The record is from RNAcentral.
UGGGGAAUAUUGCACAAUGGGCGCAAGCCUGAUGCAGCCAUGCCGCGUGUAUGAAGAAGGCCUUCGGGUUGUAAAGUACUUUCAGCGGGGAGGAAGGCGAUAAGGUUAAUAACCUUGUCGAUUGACGUUACCCGCAGAAGAAGCACCGGCUAACUCCGUGCCAGCAGCCGCGGUAAUACGGAGGGGGCAAGCGUUAAUCGGAAUUCCUGGGCGUAAAGCGCGCGCAGGCGGUCUGUCAAGUCGGAUGUGAAAUCCCCGGGCUCAACCUGGGAACUGCAUUCGAAACUGGCAGGCUAGAGUCUUGUAGAGGGGGGUAGAAUUCCAGGUGUAGCGGUGAAAUGCGUAGAGAUCUGGAGGAAUACCGGUGGCGAAGGCGGCCCCCUGGACAAAGACUGACGCUCAGGUGCGAAAGCGUGGGGAGCAAACA